UUCAGAAUUAUGGGAUUUUCACAAGUUUUUAUUAAUACUUGGAAACAUUUUUUAAAUUGUACUUUUGAAUUUAAAUUUUGUUUCUCUUUUUCUAACAAUAUUCUUUGAUCAUUUUUUCUGAUAAUGUCACAGCAAUUAGUAAUGAACAAACUAAAAAGUCUGGUAGUAAAAAAUAUUUUUGUUACAUGUGUGUCGAAAGUGACUCCUUUCGUAGCUUUCUACCGCCCGAAAAGUCGCCGUUUACCUUCAAUCCAAUUAUCCUACGCAAGUAAAGUACAUUUUAUUGUUUUUGAGUCUUCAAUAGAUGGAAUUACAAAAGUAUUUCUCCCCCAAAUUUACAGCACUAUCACUUAAUUUAAUUCAUGAUUAGCUGACUUUACUUACAUCAUUAUUUCACUUUUAUGCGCGACACGCAUGCGGUAACUUUUGCAGGAUUACCAACGCUUAGUCACUUUUGCAAACUUAACCUUGGCUAACCUGUCAAUUUACACUUAAGAAUUACACUUUGACGCACAGGUAAUAAAAAAUAUUAUUGGCCUGUUCUUUUUAACUGCACUGAUGCACUGGUGCAAUAAGUUAAAGUGAGACAAAUAUAUUUUUUCUUAUUCUAACUUGUUGCACCAAUGCAGCAGUGCAACUAAAAAGAACAGGCCUUAUAUGUAACAUGUGCGGAUUGACUAUUCCUACUCGUGCGGGUAAACGUAUUAGCCUUCGGCUUGUGCGUUUGUUCUCGUAUUUGCCGACUAUGUAAUAGCCGACUUAUCGUAAAAUAUAAAUGUGUAUUCGUAUCAUUAAAAAGUGUUUUGUCAAAUUUAAACCUUUGAGUGCAUUUUGAGAAUCAUCUUGAUUCCAAAAUUUUUUUCUACCAGGAAUAAUCUGAAAGAGAAAUCCUUUUCCAAGUCUGAUUUUUUUAAGGGAAAAGAGGUAAUCUUUUUAACAGAAAGUACCAUAGGCAAAUUGCCACAAGUAAAUUAAAAA
Molecule: long non-coding RNA, 978 nt
Organism: Monomorium pharaonis (pharaoh ant)
Lineage: Eukaryota; Metazoa; Arthropoda; Insecta; Hymenoptera; Formicidae
Exons: 2
Source: RefSeq, a predicted model, not a curated record